This 424-nucleotide ribosomal RNA is filed under the name Verrucomicrobiota bacterium. Its description in RNAcentral is "Verrucomicrobia bacterium partial 16S ribosomal RNA". It matches the Rfam family "Bacterial small subunit ribosomal RNA", at positions 355 to 776 of the family's 1533-position model. The record is from RNAcentral. Lineage: Bacteria; Pseudomonadati; Verrucomicrobiota.
UGAGGAAUAUUGGUCAAUGGGCGAGAGCCUGAACCAGCCAAGUAGCGUGUAGGAUGACGGCCCUAUGGGUUGUAAACUGCUUUUAUAUGGGAAUAAAGUGAGGGACGUGUCCCUUAUUGCAUGUACCAUACGAAUAAGGACCGGCUAAUUCCGUGCCAGCAGCCGCGGUAAUACGGAAGGUCCAGGCGUUAUCCGGAUUUAUUGGGUUUAAAGGGAGCGUAGGCUGUUUGUUAAGCGUGUUGUGAAAUGUAAGAGCUCAACUUUUAGAUUGCAGCGCGAACUGGCAGACUUGAGUGCGCACAACGUAGGCGGAAUUCAUGGUGUGGCGGUGAAAUGCGUAGAUAUCAUGACGGACUCCGAUUGCGAAGGCAGCUUACGGGAGCGCAACUGACGCUAAAGCUCGAAGGUGCGGGUAUCGAACAGG